RNAcentral lists this long non-coding RNA (237 nucleotides) under Nicotiana benthamiana. Its description in RNAcentral is "long non-coding RNA (NBEN_LNC042686)". The record is from RNAcentral. Lineage: Eukaryota; Viridiplantae; Streptophyta; Magnoliopsida; Solanales; Solanaceae.
CGGGAGGAGCGGAGGACGGCCAUUUUUAAGAAGAUGACCUCCAAGUACAAGGAGUGCCGUGCCAAGCACCGAACGCUGGUCGACUUUCUUAGCCAGGAUGGCGAGUUUUAGUCAUUUCAUGAUGGGCUCAAACAGAAGGACGAUGUGGUAAUGAAGAAAGAUGAAGAGCUGAGGGAGAGAGACGAUGAGCUUAUGAGGGCUAUCAGAAGGUGCAUCGAGCUUGAGGCAGCGCUAAAG